This 463-nucleotide ribosomal RNA is filed under the name uncultured bacterium. RNAcentral's name for it is "partial 16S ribosomal RNA". It matches the Rfam family "Bacterial small subunit ribosomal RNA", at positions 28 to 507 of the family's 1533-position model. The record is from RNAcentral.
GAUGAACGCUGACAGAAUGCUUAACACAUGCAAGUCGAUGGGGAAGUGGUGCUUGCACCAUGGUAACCAUGGCGGACGGGUGAGUAACGCGUAAGGAACUUGCCUGCGGGACUGGGAUAACAGCAGGAAACUGCUGAUAAUACCGGAUAAGGUCAUUAAGCUGCAUAGCUUAGUGAUGAAAGGAGACGCCUGCGGAGAGCCUUGCGUCCUAUUAGCUAGUUGGAGGGGUAACGGCCCACCAAGGCGAAGAUAGGUAGCCGGCCUGAGAGGGUGGACGGCCACAAGGGGACUGAGAUACGGUCCUUACUCCUACGGGAGGCAGCAGUGGGGAAUAUUGGACAAUGGGGGCAACCCUGAUCCAGCAAUUCUGUGUGCACGAAGACGGUUUUCGGAUUGUAAAGUGCUUUCAGCAGGGAAGAAGGAAGUGACGGUACCUGCAGAAGAAGCGACGGCUAAAUACGUG